UCUCUCUCUCUCUCUCUCUCUCUUCUCCGACGACUCAAAAGUCGCUAAGACUUCGACGAAAACCAGAUUCUCUCACACCCCAAAUCACCUCUCUGUCUCUCUAGCCGGAGGCUACGACCGCAAACCUCUCCAGCCGUGGCUCCAUCAGGUCAACAACAGCCACAAGGCCUCUCUCGGAGAAAGCACUCUUCGUCUUCUGCUUCGGCGAACCCGACUGUGAUUUCGGGCAGGACCCGAAUAGUGUACAGAGAAGCCCUAAGCCAGUUUUCGGAUU
Molecule: long non-coding RNA, 274 nt
Filed under: Actinidia chinensis (golden kiwifruit)
Lineage: Eukaryota; Viridiplantae; Streptophyta; Magnoliopsida; Ericales; Actinidiaceae
Description: long non-coding RNA (ACHI_LNC003197)
Source: RNAcentral